This is a small nucleolar RNA of Theobroma cacao (cacao), 93 nucleotides long. It matches the Rfam family "Small nucleolar RNA snoR8a". The record is from Rfam. NCBI's taxonomy places the organism in Eukaryota, Viridiplantae, Streptophyta, Magnoliopsida, Malvales, Malvaceae.
AAGUUAGUGAUAAUUAUAAAAAUAAUUUUUCGUUCUGACUUGUUUAAUUUAAGCAUGAUAAACUUCUUAUUACAAUCAUAGAAUCUAAGUUAC